RNAcentral lists this ribosomal RNA (646 nucleotides) under uncultured Bacillus sp. RNAcentral's name for it is "bacterial SSU rRNA". It matches the Rfam family "Bacterial small subunit ribosomal RNA", at positions 61 to 691 of the family's 1533-position model. The record is from RNAcentral. Lineage: Bacteria; Bacillati; Bacillota; Bacilli; Caryophanales; Bacillaceae.
GUCGAGCGGAUGACGGGGAGCUUGCUCCCCUGAUUCAGCGGCGGACGGGUGAGUAACACGUGGGCAACCUGCCUGUAAGAUCGGGAUAACUCCGGGAAACCGGGGCUAAUACCGGAUGGUUCCUUCCUCCGCAUGGAGGAAGGCGGAAAGACGGUUUCGGCUGUCACUUACAAAUGGGCCCGCGGCGCAUUAGCUAGUUGGUGGGGUAAUGGCCCACCAAGGCAACGAUGCGUAGCCAACAUGAGAGGGUGAUCGGCCACACUGGGACUGAAACACGGCCCAGACUCCUACGGGAGGCAGCAGUAGGGAAUCUUCCGCAAUGGACGAAAGUCUGACGGAGCAACGCCGCGUGAGCGAAGAAGGCCUUCGGGUCCUAAAGCUCUGUUGUAAGGGAAGAACAAGCGCCGGUUAACUGCCGGUGCCCUGACGGUACCUUACCACAAAGCCACGGCUAACUACCUGCCAACACCGCGGUAAUACGUAUGUGGCAAGCGUUGUCCGGAAUCAUUGGGCGUAAAGCGCGCGCAAGCGGUUUCUUAAGUCUGAUGUGAAAGCCCACGGCUCAACCGUGGAGGGUCAUUGGAAACUGGGAGACUUGAGUGCAGAAGAGGAAAGCGGAAUUCCACGUGUAGCGGUGAAAAUGCGU